RNAcentral lists this long non-coding RNA (654 nucleotides) under Equus caballus (horse). RNAcentral's name for it is "lncRNA (ENSECAG00000060229.1)". Lineage: Eukaryota; Metazoa; Chordata; Mammalia; Perissodactyla; Equidae. The record is from RNAcentral.
GGUUUCCAAACUUGGUUGCACAUUAGAAUCACCUGGGGAGCUUUCAAAACUCCUUAUGCCCGAGUCCCCACACCAAUUAAUUCAGAACCUGAGAGGGCUGGCAUCACUGUUUUUAAAGAUAUCCAGGGGGUUCUAAUGAGCAGCCAAGUUUGGGGACCACUUUAACCACCCUGCCCCCAGCCAACUUCCUGACCACUGAGGAUUUGCCUUUAGGCCUGUCAGGAGGCAGGACGGAAGCUCAGAGAAGAGGGGGCCACGUGCCCAGUCACCCAGCUCCAAAGUUAGCAGAACCAGGACUAAAACCCAAGACUUUGGAGUUCUCAAGCAAACGUUCUGGCCUCUGAGGAUAAGGCCUCUGAGACAAGGAUUAAUUAACCAUCGGGGACUGCGUAAAGACUUCCCCAAAGCUAGAAAGCCUCCAGCUGCCGCUCCCACCAUCCACCUCUCUCCUCUGUGGACCCAAGGCUCACCCUCCCCCGCUGUCUGAUCACACACGCACACGCUGUCACACUCACACCGCUCCUUGCUCCUCCUGUCCCCAAGCUGGAAUGCCUUCCUCCUCCCAUAUCCAUUCUCCAGGAUCCCCCAGGCCUUGCCUCCCUGGCGAGUCUGCAGGGCCCAGAGGGUCGCACGUUGUCCGUGCUUACUGACCCC